This is a long non-coding RNA of Branchiostoma floridae (Florida lancelet), 950 nucleotides long. RefSeq lists it as uncharacterized. The record is from RefSeq and is a predicted model, not a curated record. Lineage: Eukaryota; Metazoa; Chordata; Leptocardii; Amphioxiformes; Branchiostomatidae. The transcript has 2 exons.
GUACACUAGUGCAUUGGGCUAUUUGGAUAAGGAAAUUUAGAAAUCUGAUGCUUUAUUGAGACAAAUGGUGUUUAUAUCCUUUGCAGACCUGUCAGAAUGACCAGGAGUGCAUCGCGGCAAGGGACGAGGCGGGUUCUUGCUGUGCGCUGUGGAGCCCGGGCUCGGACCUCCACGUCUGUAAGCCCGCAGGCAGGACCGGCGAACCCUGCCACGCGGCCUCGAACGUCUUACCAUACCCAUUCAACGGGCAGAGACGCUUCUGGAGGUGCCAGUGCGCGGAGGGACUACUUUGCGUCACCGAACCGGGCAGUUUGAUCGGUCGCUGUUCUUCAGUGGACAAGUGAACAGGCUCGACAUCUACAGAUACAUUGUACCAUCUAUAUGGGGAGAAAAAGUGGCAGUGAUACGAAUACGUAUUUAUGGCUUUAAGUGCGGACAUGUUAUCCCAAAUUACAUUGAUUGUACUCAAGGGACUCAUGUUUUCCUCUGUACUAAGCCAUGUUGAUUUGUUUAUAUGGAUGACCUCCUCUGGGAACCCCAGAACUGAUGCGAGCGUGCAAACAACAAAAGGUUGGGCCUAAAAAAUGUUGCCUUUCUUUUGAAAUCAAAUUGUCAGGAAGGUUGGACAAAUGCUUAAAAUAUAAUGUAUGGUAUACCGAACAAUAGAUUUUUUCAGUUUUGAUAUUUCACAUCUUCAUUGACUUUUGAAUUUUCUUGAUGAGAAUGACGAUGCCAUCCAUAUCAAAUCAAACCAACAUUGCCUUCAUGUAUUGACCAAUACUACUUAGUGUGGAUACAGUUUCUGGUCCGAUGGUCACCCUCUUACAGCUGGUCUUGUAGGGGAUUACAAAUCAUCUGUUUGUGUUUGGAAGCUAAUUCGUUUUAAAAAUCAACUACUCAUAGAAUGAAAUGGGACCAUGGCUUUCAAGAAUAAAAAUCUGAACUACCAA